This is a long non-coding RNA of Oncorhynchus tshawytscha (Chinook salmon), 442 nucleotides long. NCBI's taxonomy places the organism in Eukaryota, Metazoa, Chordata, Actinopteri, Salmoniformes, Salmonidae. The record is from Ensembl.
GUGUGUGUGGUGGUGUGUGUGUGUGUGGAGGUGUGUGUGUGUGUGUGUGUGUGUGUGUGUGUGUGUGUGUGUGUGGUGUGUGUGUGUGUGUGUGUGUGGUGUGUGUGUGUGGUGUGUGUGUGUGUGGAGGUGUGUGGAGGUGUGUGUGUGUGUGGAGGUGUGUGUGUGUGGAGGUGUGUGUGUGGAGGUGUGUGUGUGGAGGUGUGUGUGGAGGUGUGUGUGUGUGUGUGUGUGUGUGUGUGUGUGUGUGGAGGUGUGUGUGUGUGUGUGUGUGUGGAGGUGUGUGGAGGUGUGUGUGUGGAGGUGUGUGUGUGUGGAGGUGUGCGUGUGUGGAGGUGUGUGUGUGUGUGUGUGUGUGUGUGUGUGUGUGUGGAGGUGUGUGUGUGUGUGGAGGUGUGUGUAUGUUUGGAGGUGGAGGUCUGUGGGUGCGCGUAUCUCCCUG